UACAGGGGGCUCGAGCGUUAGUCGGAAUCACUGGGCUUAAAGGGUGCGUAGGCGGUCCGCCAAGUGCUUUGUGAAAUCCCACAGCUCAACUGUGGAACAGCAGGGCAAACUGGAGGACUUGAGGCAGGUAGGGGCCGGAAGAACAGUUGGUGGAGCGGUGAAAUGCGUAGAUAUCAACUGGAAUGCCGAUGGGGAAGCCGUCCGGCUGGGCCUGUCCUGACGCUGAGGCACGAAAGCGUGGGGAGCAAACAGG
RNAcentral lists this ribosomal RNA (253 nucleotides) under uncultured bacterium. RNAcentral's name for it is "partial 16S ribosomal RNA". It matches the Rfam family "Bacterial small subunit ribosomal RNA", at positions 524 to 776 of the family's 1533-position model. The record is from RNAcentral.